GACGAACGCUGGCGGCGUGCCUAAUACAUGCAAGUUGAGCGAUGAAGAUUGGUGCUUGCACCAAUUUGAAGAGCAGCGAACGGGUGAGUAACGCGUGGGGAAUCUGCCUUUGAGCGGGGGACAACAUUUGGAAACGAAUGCUAAUACCGCAUAACAACUUUAAACAUAAGUCUUAAGUUUGAAAGAUGCAAUUGCAUCACUCAAAGAUGAUCCCGCGUUGUAUUAGCUAGUUGGUGAGGUAAAGGCUCACCAAGGCGAUGAUACAUAGCCGACCUGAGAGGGUGAUCGGCCACAUUGGGACUGAGACACGGCCCAAACUCCUACGGGAGGCAGCAGUAGGGAAUCUUCGGCAAUGGACGAAAGUCUGACCGAGCAACGCCGCGUGAGUGAAGAAGGUUUUCGGAUCGUAAAACUCUGUUGGUAGAGAAGAACGUUGGUGAGAGUGGAAAGCUCAUCAAGUGACGGUAACUACCCAGAAAGGGACGGCUAACUACGUG
Molecule: ribosomal RNA, 497 nt
Filed under: uncultured bacterium
Lineage: Bacteria
Description: partial 16S ribosomal RNA
Rfam family: Bacterial small subunit ribosomal RNA
Source: RNAcentral